Molecule: microRNA precursor, 75 nt
Organism: Bos grunniens (domestic yak)
Lineage: Eukaryota; Metazoa; Chordata; Mammalia; Artiodactyla; Bovidae
Source: Ensembl
UCUGGUGGACAGAGCUUGUGUCUAGGGCUGUGUGUAUUUAGCGGCAGCUGUGGGCUCAGGCAGUCUGUCUGCUGA